CUAUUGAAAGAUAUAUCAAUCUGUUUUCUGAUGAAAUAAGUUUCAUAUGAAUCAAGGUUUCCAACAAGGAGUUACCAUGGAUUUAGUGACCAAAGGUCAAAGACUGAAUCACUGUUUUGUAGAAUUUAUAGGGCGGAAUCAAUGGAUAGCAGAAUAGGCCUUUGAAUUCCAAAUUUUUCAAUCUAUAUAUCAAAAGAAAUAUUUUCAAUUCUAGUUUCAAAUAAAAUCAGUUUGGUACAAAUCAGAAUUUCCAACAGGGAGUUAUAGGUAUUUUAGUAUCGAAAGGUCAGAAAUCUUAAUCCCUGUUUUGCAGCAUCCAUAGGCU
Molecule: long non-coding RNA, 325 nt
Filed under: Musa acuminata (dwarf banana)
Lineage: Eukaryota; Viridiplantae; Streptophyta; Magnoliopsida; Zingiberales; Musaceae
Description: long non-coding RNA (MACU_LNC002699)
Source: RNAcentral